Molecule: ribosomal RNA, 554 nt
Filed under: Escherichia coli
Lineage: Bacteria; Pseudomonadati; Pseudomonadota; Gammaproteobacteria; Enterobacterales; Enterobacteriaceae
Description: partial 23S ribosomal RNA
Rfam family: Bacterial large subunit ribosomal RNA
Source: RNAcentral
CCUUGAUGUGUAGGAUAGGUGGGAGGCUUUGAAGUGUGGACGCCAGUCUGCAUGGAGCCGACCUUGAAAUACCACCCUUUAAUGUUUGAUGUUCUAACGUUGACCCGUAAUCCGGGUUGCGGACAGUGUCUGGUGGGUAGUUUGACUGGGGCGGUCUCCUCCUAAAGAGUAACGGAGGAGCACGAAGGUUGGCUAAUCCUGGUCGGACAUCAGGAGGUUAGUGCAAUGGCAUAAGCCAGCUUGACUGCGAGCGUGACGGCGCGAGCAGGUGCGAAAGCAGGUCAUAGUGAUCCGGUGGUUCUGAAUGGAAGGGCCAUCGCUCAACGGAUAAAAGGUACUCCGGGGAUAACAGGCUGAUACCGCCCAAGAGUUCAUAUCGACGGCGGUGUUUGGCACCUCGAUGUCGGCUCAUCACAUCCUGGGGCUGAAGUAGGUCCCAAGGGUAUGGCUGUUCGCCAUUUAAAGUGGUACGCGAGCUGGGUUUAGAACGUCGUGAGACAGUUCGGUCCCUAUCUGCCGUGGGCGCUGGAGAACUGAGGGGGGCUGCUCCUAGU